AAGUCGUAACAAGGUCUCCGUUGGUGAACCAGCGGAGGGAUCAUUACAGAGUGUUAACACACCCUAAACCCCUGUGAACAUACCUCUUGUUGCCUCCACGGUGCAGCAGGCGGGCUCUCGAGCUACUCGGCGGCAGGCUACCCUGUAGUCAGUCACCCUGUAGCGCCGGGUAGUCCCCUCUCCCGUGAAAGGCCCCAACGAACUCUGUUGUAACCUGCAACUCUGAAUCUAAAACAAAUAAGUUAAAACUUUCAACAACGGAUCUCUUGGUUCUG
Molecule: unclassified non-coding RNA, 275 nt
Filed under: air metagenome
Description: partial contains small subunit ribosomal RNA, internal transcribed spacer 1, and 5.8S ribosomal RNA
Rfam family: Eukaryotic small subunit ribosomal RNA (bases 1-46)
Source: RNAcentral